AAAAAGACAAACCCUGGGUUUCUGUGUCCAACAUUUGACUGUCUGUCUUAUAUGAUUUUUUUUAAUAAUUAGUAUUUUCAUUGUUGUUAGAUGACAAAACAUGAUUAAUACUUUAUGCAUGACUUGUCCUUUUAAUUUUUUUUAUAUUUUUUUAAAUAAGACGGACGGUCAAACGUUUGACACGGAAAGUCAGGGUU
RNAcentral lists this microRNA precursor (197 nucleotides) under Oryza glumipatula. Its description in RNAcentral is "MIR812 microRNA precursor family". It matches the Rfam family "MIR812 microRNA precursor family". The record is from Rfam by way of RNAcentral. Lineage: Eukaryota; Viridiplantae; Streptophyta; Magnoliopsida; Poales; Poaceae.